Molecule: ribosomal RNA, 463 nt
Filed under: uncultured bacterium
Lineage: Bacteria
Description: partial 16S ribosomal RNA
Rfam family: Bacterial small subunit ribosomal RNA
Source: RNAcentral
ACGAACGCUGGCGGCGUGCUUAACCCCUGCCAGUCGAACGGUAAGGCCCUUUCGGGGGUACACGAGUGGCGAACGGGUGAGUAACACGUGGGUGAUCUGCCCUGCACUUUGGGAUAAGCCUGGGAAACUGGGUCUAAUACCGGAUAGGACUACGCGAUGCAUGUCGUGUGGUGGAAAGCUUUUGCGGUGUGGGAUGGGCCCGCGGCCUAUCAGCUUGUUGGUGGGGUGAUGGCCUACCAAGGCGACGACGGGUAGCCGGCCUGAGAGGGUGUCCGGCCACACUGGGACUGAGAUACGGCCCAGACUCCUACGGGAGGCAGCAGUGGGGAAUAUUGCACAAUGGGCGCAAGCCUGAUGCAGCGACGCCGCGUGGGGGAUGACGGCCUUCGGGUUGUAAACCCCUUUCAGCACAGACGAAGCGUAAGUGACGGUAUGUGCAGAAGAAGCACCGGCCAACUACGUG